This 870-nucleotide long non-coding RNA is filed under the name Sinocyclocheilus grahami. RNAcentral's name for it is "lncRNA (ENSSGRG00000035649.1)". The record is from RNAcentral. Lineage: Eukaryota; Metazoa; Chordata; Actinopteri; Cypriniformes; Cyprinidae.
CGAGGAAAGCUGAGGAGAGCUGGUCAGUGGACUGUUCUCACAUUUUCCAAGAGAUCGAACCUCCUCUGCCUAAUGUUGUGAGUAUUUGUACUAGUUAAGACUAGAACAACUGUGAGCAUUAUGGCUAUGGUCAUAUUCAAUCCUAUCUGUUUCUCUCUGCCACUGUUUUCAGACACAUUCGCAUAUACACCUGCACACAUUGAAUGAUAUACAUGGGUCAAAGACCAGAUGUUUCUACUCUGGUACCUGUCUGUCAUGGGGUUCAUCAUCAACAUUGAUACCCUCAUGUUGUUGAUUCCUGAGCUGCUUAAAUUUCAGCGAUAUGUCUGCACCUAUCAAUUUAGCCAGGAUCACUUGGAGCCCCUCUUCAAUUCUAUCAGGGCAUCAGGAGGCUGGAAUAGCAAUCCUACUGCAGGCCAGUUCCAGGGCAUUUUCCGCCAUCUCAUGGUCCGGUGCGGUGUCUCACCAAGCAUUUCAGGAAAUGUGGUAGAACAGAAUGAGACCGUGUCUCUGGCAGCAGAAGAAUCUGAAGACCUUCCACCCCCAUUUGUAAACAUCUCUGCACUUGUGUGUGAUCACAGCUACCUGCCAACCCGUCUUGGGAGCCUUGUGGACAAUGCCCUUGUGUACAUUUCAGGGUUUGUUGUUCGUCAGAUUUUGAGGAAGCUGUCCUGUGCUGUGUGUCGUGCUAGCUUGGUGACAGAUGCUGUAUCUGCGUCAUUUGAUCAGAGCUACCACUUGCUUACACUGAAAAACAAUGGAGGACUGAUGAUUCCUUUUGAAGUGGCAACUCGAGAAAAAAGGUCUGGAAAGCCGUUUUGUUCAAAGGGUUUUAGCUCUUGCACUCUGUAACCCUACAAAGGAUUAGCA